UCCCUGGUGGCUCAGACAGUAAAGUGUCUGCCUGCAACGCGGAAGACCCAGGUUCGAUCCCUGGAUCGGGAA
Molecule: transfer RNA, 72 nt
Organism: Ovis aries (sheep)
Lineage: Eukaryota; Metazoa; Chordata; Mammalia; Artiodactyla; Bovidae
Rfam family: tRNA
About the family: Transfer RNA (tRNA) molecules are approximately 80 nucleotides in length. Their secondary structure includes four short double-helical elements and three loops (D, anti-codon, and T loops).
Source: Rfam